This 492-nucleotide ribosomal RNA is filed under the name uncultured bacterium. Its description in RNAcentral is "partial 16S ribosomal RNA". It matches the Rfam family "Bacterial small subunit ribosomal RNA", at positions 29 to 507 of the family's 1533-position model. The record is from RNAcentral.
AGUGAACGCUGGCGGUAGGCCUAACACAUGCAAGUCGAACGGCAGCACAGUAAGAGCUUGCUCUUACGGGUGGCGAGUGGCGGACGGGUGCGGAAUACAUCGGAAUCUACUUUUUCGUGGGGGAUAACGUAGGGAAACUUACGCUAAUACCGCAUACGACCUACGGGUGAAAGCAGGGGAUCUUCGGACCUUGCGCGAUUGUAUGAGCCGAUGUCGGAUUAGCUAGUUGGCGGGGUAAAGGCCCACCAAGGCGACGAUCCGUAGCUGGUCUGAGAGGAUGAUCAGCCACACUGGAACUGAGACACGGUCCAGACUCCUACGGGAGGCAGCAGUGGGGAAUAUUGGACAAUGGGCGAAAGCCUGAUCCAGCCAUACCGCGUGUGUGAAGAAGGCCUUCGGAUUGUAAAGCCCUUUUGUUGGGAAAGAAAAGCAGCAGGUUAAUACCCCGCUGUUCUGACGGUACCCAAAGAAUAAGCACCGGCUAACUUCGUG